AACGCUGGUGGCGCGCCUAACACAUGCAAGUCGAGCGCCUCACUUUCGGGUGGGGAGCGGCGCACGGGUGAGUAACGCGUGGGAAUCUACCCUGGGGUUCGGGACAACGGCGGGAAACUGCCGCUAACACCGGAUACGGCCUUUUGGCGGAAAGUUUACGCCCUGGGAUGAGCCCGCGUCCGAUUAGCUUGUUGGUGAGGUAACGGCUCACCAAGGCUUCGAUCGGUAGCCGGUCUGAGAGGAUGAUCGGCCACACUGGGACUGAGACACGGCCCAGACUCCUACGGGAGGCAGCAGUGGGGAAUCUUGGACAAUGGGGGCAACCCUGAUCCAGCGACGCCGCGUGGGUGAUGAAGGCCUUCGGGUUGUAAAGCCCUUUUGUCGGGGACGAUGAUGACGGUACCCGGCGAAUAAGCACCGGCUAACUCCGUGCCAGCAGCCGCGGUAA
Molecule: ribosomal RNA, 448 nt
Filed under: uncultured bacterium
Lineage: Bacteria
Description: bacterial SSU rRNA
Rfam family: Bacterial small subunit ribosomal RNA
Source: RNAcentral